Molecule: non-coding RNA, 207 nt
Organism: Pelobates cultripes (western spadefoot toad)
Lineage: Eukaryota; Metazoa; Chordata; Amphibia; Anura; Pelobatidae
Source: the annotation of a GenBank genome assembly
CACGCAGCCUCCAGACCUAUCGCAAUGCACAAGUGCAAUACACACAACCAAAAGAUACGAAACAGAAGCCAGAAAAUUAAGAUCCCCACAACAAUACUGGGUGACAGCAUGGCAACUAUGGGACGACUGGUAUACAAAAUCUGUCUUCACUAAACAAACUACAACCAACACUGACGACUAGCCUUCAUGCAGAAAUGCAAUAAUGGG